AAACAUAGGAACUUGAUCUCCUGCAUGGUUCCAGGCAGGUUUUGGCCAGACAACCCACAGCUCUCCCAUAUGAGUGCUGGGCACAGCCUGGGAACUGGCUUGGGCUACAAUAGCUGCUCAGCAAAUACCUGGACACAGACACCUGUUUUGUAGGGACUCUGCUGAGCUGCUGUUUAUCUUACUGCUCCCAGACCAAAGACUUUCAAAACAGGUCCAGUUGCUUGGUGUCAGCUGUGACCUUCCAUUGGUCAUGAAUGUAUUCCUGAGCCCAAAAGCAUGGAGGUCCUGGAAACUCAUAUUUUUCAGAAUUAGCAAACAUGAGUUUCAUGCAUUAAAUGUUCACACCUCAUCUGUUGGAGGAUUCCUGUGUAAAGGUUUACAAUUUAUUUUGUUUUAUGAGAAUUUCCAACUCAGAAUGUCUGAAUCCUGAAGUGCCUUAUAAACAGAAGUGUUGUGAUGCAAGAUGACAGACAAAUGGACAUUCAGAACUCACAUAAUUUCUCAGCUGAAAACCAAAGAAAACACUGGGACUGCUAAAAUGAAAACAAGUACAUCUUAUUGGGCACUUUUAUUUCAUCUUGAAGAGCAACACUACCCUUAUGGCUUAUCUGCUACCAGUUAGCAUUUAACAUUUGAUGAAGAUCGAGUAUAAAUAUAUUACAGCAAAUAUUGUCCUUAUAUUUCUAUCAAUUUCCUCAAAUGUGUGUUCGUGCAACUGCUACUUAGUAUUCUGAAGCUGAUAAUUUUUAAUUCUGCACUACAUGUGUCAGCUUCUUUGAUAAAAAGCUCCAUGGACAUGGGAAGGAGUGCAGAAGAUCAAUGACAGAUGAAUAACGCCCAGCCCCAUCUCCUCCCAGACUGAUUCCUGGACAGCGUGCAGCCCAGUGACUAAACCCAGUUACUGACAAUAUCCACACACCAUGCAUGUAUGUACAAUUCUACAGAAGGUGUUGAAGUAUCCAAAUAUAAACCACAUGUACCAUCACAGGCCUUGUAUUCUGAAAAUCACAGCAGCUGAAUACAUGACAGUGGCUCAGAGCCGCUCCUUGUCAUUGAGCAGUCUUAGAUAGACAAAAAAUCUCAGAAAUGUUUGAAUUGGAGUUCAGUGGAGUUCAAAUCAAUGUCUUCCAUGUUUUGCCCAGUGAAGACUGUGAGCAGCUCACUUUUCUUGGUAAAGAUAUCCAUACAUAUGACCUUAGAGGAAGGGCUGGACUAACUCUUACCUGUGUUGACUAUACACCAUCCCUACCUACAUCUUCAAAAUCUCUGCUACAAGUCUUAAGGUCAGAAUUCAAAGGACUUCAUUUCACAGUUUUCUCAGAGAUAGUGGAGCAUUAAGGAUGUAAAUUUUAGCAAUGUUUUUAAGCAAUAAUUGUUUUUCAAAGUUGUAUGGAGUUGUACUUCACAGCUAUCAUUCCUGCAUAGAUCAUCUUUGAAGUCUCUUCACAGAUUUGUACCAGCCUCACUAAAAAAACAAGGAAUGCUGAUUUAGGUUUGACCUGACAGCCAUAAUCACUUCUUUCUGUAAGCUAUUAUUUCACGUGGAUAAAAAGGGUGAAUAUAUCUCGCAUAAUGUCAGUGGCAUUACAGCUGGAGAAUUUGGAGGGCAAGCUGAGCAAAGUAAACACUGACAACAUAGGUGAGAUUUAAUUUGUCCUGCAUUUGCAGUUAUUAAAAUACGUCUACAACAUAGAAUCCAUAACUCUGUCCUCAUACUUGAGCAGCUAUGUGAUAAACCAUAAAUCCCACACCACUCUGCUCCCUGUUUGCAGUUGCUGUUGAUUCCCAUGGAAAGGCAAUGGCACUUUAGGAAAAAAAAAUAACAGUGCUGCUCUAUUUGAGUACUUGAAAACAUUUCCCAUUUAUCUCCAGACAAGUCGAUCACUCAAAGGGACUUUCAAAUACCAAAAAAAUCAAUAGAGUAAUUUAUCAACUGCAUUUGUGCACAGCCACAGUCACAGGCAACUGCUGCUUAUGGUUGCUAUUUGUGAUUGUUGGUGUCUGAGAGAUCUUGAGAUAAAUAAAUAGAGCAGUCAUUAGGCCUUCUCUCAAAAGCUACACAUACACAAAUAUGCCCUGUAGUACUAAGAAUACAACAGAUCUUUAAAAUCAGGCCAACCAAAUAAUAUAUAGUCUGUCACCCUACUUCUUCAGCUGACAAGAUAUUUAUAGAGUAAUGAAUACUUUGAAUGCACCAAAAAAUGAGAAUAAGAGUUGCUGGAUUAUCAAACUACAGAAAAAUGUCUAAUCAGUUCAUCUUGUCUCCCUAGAGCUCUUUUAGUCACAGUGCUUUUAAGAUCUUUUCUCAAAUAUAUUACUUUGGAUGAAUUUUUAAGAAAAUGGAAUUUUAAAGGAUAGAAGAGCCAGAUCUGGAUGUGAUGUUUGUUUGGAAAAGAAAACGAUCACCAGCUGUGUCUGCUAUUUCGAAUGCUUUGAAGGAAACUAUCUUUAACUCACAGAACAGGUUUGCAUUUGGUACUCUGCAUGCAUUCUGCACUCUGGAUGGCAGUGGGAGAUCACAAGGAUGACCAUACCACACAGCUCCUCACAGCAGCCUGCAGGAGACUUCAGCUGUGUUUCACAGAUGCACUUUGGAGCUUCUGUUUUUCUUAGAAAUUGAUAGAAAAUGUGAAAACUAGACCCUGGAUUAAAAAAUCACCAUGUUUCUGUGUUCU
Molecule: long non-coding RNA, 2675 nt
Filed under: Gallus gallus (chicken)
Lineage: Eukaryota; Metazoa; Chordata; Aves; Galliformes; Phasianidae
Description: lncRNA (ENSGALG00000054871.1)
Source: RNAcentral